CUGGCCCUAGGCCCGAGUUGUAAUUUGCAGAGGAUGCUUUUGGUGCGGUGCCUUCCAAGUUCCCUAGAACGGGACGCCAGAGAGGGUGAGAGCCCCGUACAGUUGGACACCAAGCCUUUGUAAAGCUCCUUCGACGAGUCGAGUAGUUUGGGAAUGCUGCUCAAAAUGGGAGGUAUAUUUCUUCUAAAGCUAAAUACCGGCCAGAGACCGAUAGCGCACAAGUAGAGUGAUCGAAAGAUGAAAAGCACUUUGAAAAGAGGGUUAAACAGCACGUGAAAUUGUUAAAAGGGAAGCGCUUGUGACCAGACUUGCGUCCGGUGAAUCACCCAGCUCUCGCGGCUGGGGCACUUCGCCGGCUCAGGCCAGCAUCAGCUCGCUGUCGGGGACAAAAGCUUCAGGAACGUAGCUCUCUUCGGGGAGUGUUAUAGCCUGUUGCAUAAUACCCUUCGGCGGGCUGAGGUACGCGCUCCGCAAGGAUGCUGGCAUAAUGGUCAUCAGCGACCCGUCUUGAAACACGGACCAAGGAGUCAACCUUAUGUGCGAGUGUUCGGGUGUCAAACCCCUACGCGUAAUGAAAGUGAACGCAGGUGAGAGCUUCGGCGCAUCAUCGACCGAUCCUGAUGUUCUCGGAUGGAUUUGAGUAAGAGCAUAUAGGGUUGGACCCGAAAGAAGGUGAACUAUGCGUGUAUAGGGUGAAGCCAGAGGAAACUCUGGUGGAGGCUCGCAGCGGUUCUGACGUGCAAAUCGAUCGUCAAAUAUGCGCAUGGGGGCGAAAGACUAAUCGAACCUUCUAGUAGCUGGUUUCCGCCGAAGUUUCCCUCAGGAUAGCAGUGUUGAACUCAGUUUUAUGAGGUAAAGCGAAUGAUUAGGGACUCGGGGGCGCUAUAUUGCCUUCAUCCAUUCUCAAACUUUAAAUAUGUAAGAAGCCCUUGUUACUUAAUUGAACGUGGGCAUUCGAAUGUAUCAACACUAGUGGGCCAUUUUUGGUAAGCAGAACUGGCGAUGCGGGAUGAACCGAACGCGAGGUUAAGGUGCCAGAGUAGACGCUCAUCAGACACCACAAAAGGUGUUAGUACAUCUUGACAGCAGGACGGUGGCCAUGGAAGUCGGAAUCCGCUAAGGACUGUGUAACAACUCACCUGCCGAAUGUACUAGCCCUGAAAAUGGAUGGCGCUCAAGCGUCUCACCCA
Molecule: ribosomal RNA, 1190 nt
Filed under: Colletotrichum sp. RP250
Lineage: Eukaryota; Fungi; Ascomycota; Sordariomycetes; Glomerellales; Glomerellaceae
Description: eukaryotic LSU rRNA
Rfam family: Eukaryotic large subunit ribosomal RNA
Source: RNAcentral